UCCCUGGUGGUCCAGUGGAUAAGACUGCACGCUCCCAAUGCAGGAGGCCCAGGUUCCAUCCCUGGUCAGGGAA
RNAcentral lists this transfer RNA (73 nucleotides) under Ovis aries (sheep). It matches the Rfam family "tRNA". Rfam says of the family: Transfer RNA (tRNA) molecules are approximately 80 nucleotides in length. Their secondary structure includes four short double-helical elements and three loops (D, anti-codon, and T loops). The record is from Rfam by way of RNAcentral. Lineage: Eukaryota; Metazoa; Chordata; Mammalia; Artiodactyla; Bovidae.